UGGGGAAUAUUGCGCAAUGGGCGAAAGCCUGACGCAGCGACGCCGCGUGGAGGAUGAAGGUCUUCGGAUUGUAAACUUCUGUUAGGUGGGAAGAAAUACGAAGUUUUAAUACAGCUUCGGGAUGACGGUACCAUCAGAGAAAGCACCGGCUAACUUCGUGCCAGCAGCCGCGGUAAUACGAAGGGUGCAAGCGUUAUUCGGAGUGAUUGGGCGUAAAGGGUGCGUAGGCGGUGUGUUAAGUCAAUUGUUAAAUCUCUCAGCCUAACUGAGAAUCGGCAGUUGAAACUGGCAUGCUAGAGGGUGGGAGAGAGAAGUGGAAUUCUCGGAGUAGCGGUAAAAUGCGUAGAUCUCGAGAGGAACACCAAUGGCGAAGGCAGCUUCUUGGCCCAUACCUGACGCUGAUGCACGAAAGCGUGGGGAGCAAACAGG
This 429-nucleotide ribosomal RNA is filed under the name uncultured bacterium. RNAcentral's name for it is "bacterial SSU rRNA". It matches the Rfam family "Bacterial small subunit ribosomal RNA", at positions 355 to 776 of the family's 1533-position model. The record is from RNAcentral.